GCGGAAUUUUGCACCAACAGAAUUGGCGCUAGAGGAAGGAUCCCCGUAUCUUCGCAGGACCCUUAUUCUUAAAGGAGUACUCAGCGGAAUUGUCUUCGAUCAUCUUCUUCGAUAUUUUCUCCUUCUUCUCCCGCCAGAUCUCCACCUGAUGCCUCCCCGGAAGGCAUCCACCAGGCGAUCCACAACCUCCGCGGUCAGAUCUCAGCGAGGCC
This 212-nucleotide long non-coding RNA is filed under the name Elaeis guineensis (African oil palm). Its description in RNAcentral is "long non-coding RNA (EGUI_LNC018622)". The record is from RNAcentral. Lineage: Eukaryota; Viridiplantae; Streptophyta; Magnoliopsida; Arecales; Arecaceae.